This 733-nucleotide ribosomal RNA is filed under the name Pseudomonas sp. enrichment culture clone CB1-2 2,2. RNAcentral describes it as "partial 16S ribosomal RNA". It matches the Rfam family "Bacterial small subunit ribosomal RNA", at positions 1 to 719 of the family's 1533-position model. Lineage: Bacteria; Pseudomonadati; Pseudomonadota; Gammaproteobacteria; Pseudomonadales; Pseudomonadaceae. The record is from RNAcentral.
CCGAAUUCGUCGACAACAGAGUUUGCUCCUGGCUCAGAUUGAACGCUGGCGGCAGGCCUAACACAUGCAAGUCGAGCGGAUGAGAGGAGCUUGCUCCUGGAUUCAGCGGCGGACGGGUGAGUAAUGCCUAGGAAUCUGCCUGGUAGUGGGGGACAACGUUUCGAAAGGAACGCUAAUACCGCAUACGUCCUACGGGAGAAAGCAGGGGACCUUCGGGCCUUGCGCUAUCAGAUGAGCCUAGGUCGGAUUAGCUAGUUGGUGAGGUAAUGGCUCACCAAGGCGACGAUCCGUAACUGGUCUGAGAGGAUGAUCAGUCACACUGGAACUGAGACACGGUCCAGACUCCUACGGGAGGCAGCAGUGGGGAAUAUUGGACAAUGGGCGAAAGCCUGAUCCAGCCAUGCCGCGUGUGUGAAGAAGGUCUUCGGAUUGUAAAGCACUUUAAGUUGGGAGGAAGGGCAGUAACUUAAUACGUUGCUGUUUUGACGUUACCGACAGAAUAAGCACCGGCUAACUCUGUGCCAGCAGCCGCGGUAAUACAGAGGGUGCAAGCGUUAAUCGGAAUUACUGGGCGUAAAGCGCGCGUAGGUGGUUUGUUAAGUUGGAUGUGAAAUCCCCGGGCUCAACCUGGGAACUGCAUUCAAAACUGACAAGCUAGAGUAUGGUAGAGGGUGGUGGAAUUUCCUGUGUAGCGGUGAAAUGCGUAGAUAUAGGAAGGAACACCAGUGGCGAA